ACGCCCCGCAAGGGGAGUGGCAGACGGGUGAGUAACGCGUGGGAACAUACCCUUUCCUGCGGAAUAGCUCCGGGAAACUGGAAUUAAUACCGCAUACGCCCUACGGGGGAAAGAUUUAUCGGGGAAGGAUUGGCCCGCGUUGGAUUAGCUAGUUGGUGGGGUAAAGGCCUACCAAGGCGACGAUCCAUAGCUGGUCUGAGAGGAUGAUCAGCCACAUUGGGACUGAGACACGGCCCAAACUCCUACGGGAGGCUGCAGUGGGGAAUAUUGGACAAUGGGCGCAAGCCUGAUCCAGCCAUGCCGCGUGAGUGAUGAAGGCCUUAGGGUUGUAAAGCUCUUUCACCGGAGAAGAUAAUGACGGUAUCCGGAGAAGAAGCCCCGGCUAAC
RNAcentral lists this ribosomal RNA (387 nucleotides) under uncultured soil bacterium. RNAcentral describes it as "bacterial SSU rRNA". It matches the Rfam family "Bacterial small subunit ribosomal RNA", at positions 66 to 501 of the family's 1533-position model. The record is from RNAcentral.